AACGAACGUUGGCGGCGUGGAUUAGGCAUGCAAGUCGUACGCGAAAGAGGGGGCAACUCCUCGAGUAAAGUGGCGAACGGGUGAGUAACGCGUAAGGAAACCCUGCCUUCGAGAGUGGGGAUAACACUCCUAACGGGGUGCUAAUACCGAAUGACACUGGCGGGAUCGCAUGGUUCUGCAGUCAAAGGUGGCCUCUGCUUGCAAGCUACCAC
This 212-nucleotide ribosomal RNA is filed under the name uncultured bacterium. RNAcentral describes it as "partial 16S ribosomal RNA". It matches the Rfam family "Bacterial small subunit ribosomal RNA", at positions 29 to 218 of the family's 1533-position model. The record is from RNAcentral.